UACGUAGGGUGCAAGCGUUGUCCGGAAUUAUUGGGCGUAAAGAGCUCGUAGGCGGUUUGUCGCGUCGAAUGUGAAACCCGGGGCUCAACCCCGGGCCUGCAUUCGAUACGGGCAGACUAGAGUUCGGUAGGGGAGUCUGGAAUUCCUGGUGUAGCGGUGGAAUGCGCAGAUAUCAGGAGGAACACCGAUGGCGAAGGCAGGUCACUGGGCCGCAACUGACGCUGAGGAGCGAAAGCAUGGGGAGCGAACAGG
This 252-nucleotide ribosomal RNA is filed under the name uncultured bacterium. RNAcentral describes it as "partial 16S ribosomal RNA". It matches the Rfam family "Bacterial small subunit ribosomal RNA", at positions 524 to 776 of the family's 1533-position model. The record is from RNAcentral.